UGCCUUUGAUUUCAGGACGUUAUUGUAUUACGUGCUUUCUAGCUCGAGAACGCGUCGGGCAUCUGGCUAUAGAAGGUAGUAUGGAGAUUUGCUAAUAUUCAAGCAGUUUAUCGGUUUUUGAUUGUUGGAAUGUAAACAACUACAAGAAUACACCGUAAAUCUAUACGGAUGCCCUUCGAUUGCUCGUCGAAGUCCUUUUUGCCCCAGCUGGUAGGUCUCCAGACGUUACAGAGAACCCCGAACAACCCAAUCUACUAAUCUCCGAUACCGCUUUAUACUCAUGAUCUUGUAUCCACUGACUGUCUUGUUAGAUUAACCCAAUAAAUUUCAUUCACUCCGCAUACUCAAUCCUAUAGAUACCCUUUUAAUUCUUCAAUUACAAACGUAAGUCGAUUUCACAAAACAGUCAAGAGUAAUCAAACCCACUUCAUUAAAAAUCCCGAUUCACCAUUACAACACUGACUUCAGCAACAAUUGCCUCAGUCUUCCCAAAACCCUAUGAAGAAAAAAAACCCAAUUCUCUGUCUUUUUUUUCCUUCC
Molecule: long non-coding RNA, 540 nt
Filed under: Physcomitrium patens
Lineage: Eukaryota; Viridiplantae; Streptophyta; Bryopsida; Funariales; Funariaceae
Description: long non-coding RNA (PPAT_LNC007184)
Source: RNAcentral